Molecule: transfer RNA, 74 nt
Filed under: Micromonosporaceae bacterium
Lineage: Bacteria; Bacillati; Actinomycetota; Actinomycetes; Micromonosporales; Micromonosporaceae
Description: tRNA-Asn
Rfam family: tRNA
About the family: Transfer RNA (tRNA) molecules are approximately 80 nucleotides in length.
Source: RNAcentral
UCCCCCGUCGUUCAACGGUAGGACAGCCGGCUGUUAACCGGUCGAUGUUGGUUCGAGUCCAGCCGGGGGAGCCA